GAGGAUCUGAGGCCUGCGGUGGGCCUUGGUCCCUUCUCUCCCCGCCCCGAAGCCGCCUGCUCAACCUGAGGGCCACCGGCCUCUAUCCGUCGGUGCCGAUGCUCCUUGCUUCCCAGCCAGAGCGUCUCAUCUCUGGGCCCGGAGCCCCAGGCUCGUUCUCCUCAGCCCCUGCCGGCGGCGGCGCUCUUGCAGCCAUUCCUGUGAGGUCGUUUUUCGGAGCAGCCGGGCCGGCCGAGGAUCUCUUCCUGAACCAGUGACAGUGGUUCUCAAACAUUUUGGUCUGAGGACCCCUUUAUGGCCUUAAAAAUGAUCGAAGAGCUUUUAUUUAUGAAGGUAAUACCUG
RNAcentral lists this long non-coding RNA (343 nucleotides) under Homo sapiens (human). RNAcentral's name for it is "PREDICTED lncRNA (TCONS_00228756)". The record is from RNAcentral. Lineage: Eukaryota; Metazoa; Chordata; Mammalia; Primates; Hominidae.